GCAGUCGAGCGACAGAUAAGGAGCUUGCUCCUUUGACGUUAGCGGCGGACGGGUGAGUAACACGUGGGUAACCUACCUAUAAGACUGGGAUAACUUCGGGAAACCGGAGCUAAUACCGGAUAAUAUUUCGAACCGCAUGGUUCGAUAGUGAAAGAUGGUUUUGCUAUCACUUAUAGAUGGACCCGCGCCGUAUUAGCUAGUUGGUAAGGUAACGGCUUACCAAGGCGACGAUACGUAGCCGACCUGAGAGGGUGAUCGGCCACACUGGAACUGAGACACGGUCCAGACUCCUACGGGAGGCAGCAGUAGGGAAUCUUCCGCAAUGGGCGAAAGCCUGACGGAGCAACGCCGCGUGAGUGAUGAAGGUCUUCGGAUCGUAAAACUCUGUUAUUAGGGAAGAACAUACGUGUAAGUAACUGUGCACGUCUUGACGGUACCUAAUCAGAAAGCCACGGCUAACUACGUGCCAGCAGCCGCGGUAAUACGUAGGUGGCAAGCGUUAUCCGGAAUUAUUGGGCGUAAAGCGCGCGUAGGCGGUUUUUUAAGUCUGAUGUGAAAGCCCACGGCUCAACCGUGGAGGGUCAUUGGAAACUGGAAAACUUGAGUGCAGAAGAGGAAAGUGGAAUUCCAUGUGUAGCGGUGAAAUGCGCAGAGAUAUGGAGGAACACCAGUGGCGAAGGCGACUUUCUGGUCUGUAACUGACGCUGAUGUGCGAAAGCGUGGGGAUCAAACAGGAUUAGAUACCCUGGUAGUCCACGCCGUAAACGAUGAGUGCUAAGUGUUAGGGGGUUUCCGCCCCUUAGUGCUGCAGCUAACGCAUUAAGCACUCCGCCUGGGGAGUACGACCGCAAGGUUGAAACUCAAAGGAAUUGACGGGGACCCGCACAAGCGGUGGAGCAUGUGGUUUAAUUCGAAGCAACGCGAAGAACCUUACCAAAUCUUGACAUCCUUUGACAACUCUAGAGAUAGAGCUUUCCCCUUCGGGGGACAAAGUGACAGGUGGUGCAUGGUUGUCGUCAGCUCGUGUCGUGAGAUGUUGGGUUAAGUCCCGCAACGAGCGCAACCCUUAAGCUUAGUUGCCAUCAUUAAGUUGGGCACUCUAAGUUGACUGCCGGUGACAAACCGGAGGAAGGUGGGGAUGACGUCAAAUCAUCAUGCCCCUUAUGAUUUGGGCUACACACGUGCUACAAUGGACAAUACAAAGGGCAGCGAAACCGCGAGGUCAAGCAAAUCCCAUAAAGUUGUUCUCAGUUCGGAUUGUAGUCUGCAACUCGACUACAUGAAGCUGGAAUCGCUAGUAAUCGUAGAUCAGCAUGCUACGGUGAAUACGUUCCCGGGUCUUGUACACACCGCCCGUCACACCACGAGAGUUUGUAACACCCGAAGCCGGUGGAGUAACCAUUGGAGCUAGCCGUCGAAGGUGGACAA
RNAcentral lists this ribosomal RNA (1428 nucleotides) under Staphylococcus haemolyticus. Its description in RNAcentral is "bacterial SSU rRNA". It matches the Rfam family "Bacterial small subunit ribosomal RNA". Lineage: Bacteria; Bacillati; Bacillota; Bacilli; Caryophanales; Staphylococcaceae. The record is from RNAcentral.